Molecule: RNA transcript, 2060 nt
Organism: Harpia harpyja (harpy eagle)
Lineage: Eukaryota; Metazoa; Chordata; Aves; Accipitriformes; Accipitridae
Exons: 3
Source: RefSeq, a predicted model, not a curated record
CCAGUAGCUAAUCGGAGCAUUACAGCCUGUGUUUGGGCCCUCUCCAAAGAGACUUCAGAGUUCGUCCUUUGGAUCCCAAAUGAAUCACAGAAUGGUUGAGAUUGGAAGGCACCUCUGGAAGUCACCUGGUCCAACACCCCUGCUCAAGCCUGCACCAGCAGCCCAGGACUGUGUCCAGGCAGAUUGUGACUGUCUCCAAGGAUGGAGACUCCACAACCUCCCUGGGUAACCUGUGCCAGUCCUUAGUCACCCUCACACUAAAAAAGUGUUUCCUGAUGUUCAGAGGGAACCUCCUGUGUUUCAGUUUGUGCCCGUUGCCUCUGGUCCUGUUGCUGGGUGCCACUGAGAAGAUCCUGGCUCCAUCUUUUUCACACCCUCCCUUCAGGUAUUUACACACAUUGACAAGGUCCCCCCGAGCCUUCUCCAGGCUAAACAGUCCCAGCCCUCUCAGCCUUUCCUCAUAGAAGAGGUGCUUCAGUCUCUUCAUCAUCUUUGUGACGCCUCCCUGGACUCUCUCCAGUAUGUCCCUGUCUCUCUUGUACUGGGGAACCUAGAACUGGACACAAUACUCCAGGUGUGGCCUCACCAGUGCUGAGUAGAGGGGAAGGAUCACCUCCCUCAACCUGCUGGCAACACUCGUCCUAAGGCAGCCCAGGAUACUGUUAGCGUCCUUUGCUGCAAGGGCACAUUGCUGGUUCAUGUUCAACUUAGUGUCCAACAGGACCCCAGGUCCUUUUUGCCAAGCUGCUUUCCAGCUGGGUGGUCCCCAGCAUUUACUGGUGCCUGGGGUUAUUCCUUCCCUUUGCACUUCUCCUCAUUGAACUUCACAAGGUUGUUCCUGCCAGCCCAUUUCUCCAGCCUGUCAAGGUCCCUCUGGAUGGCAGCAUGACCUUCUGGUGUAUCAGCCACUCCUCCUAGUUUUGUGUCAUCAGCAAAUCUUGCUGAGGGUACACUCUGCCUCAUCAUCCAGAUCAUUAAUGAAGAUGCUGAACAGGAUCAGACCCAGUAUUGACCCCUGGGGUACACCACUAGUUACUGGCCUCUAGCUAGACUUUAUGCCACUGAUCACCACCCGCUGGGCCCAGCUGUUCAGCCAGUUUUCAGCCCACCUCACUGUUUCCUCACCUAGCCCAUACUUCCAUUGGCUUCUCUAUGAGGAUCUUACUGGAGACAGUGUCAAAGGCCUUACUGAAGCCAGGGUAGACAAUGUCCACUGCUCUCCCUUCAUCUGCCAAGCCAGUCAUUUCAUCAUAGAAGUUUAUCAAGUUGGUCAAGUGACUGGCACUUCAGGAAGACAACAAAUGGGCCCAAAGAUAUUAAUCGACUCUGACUCCAGCAAACUCGCCAGGCAGCCCAGGAGACGUGCGUGGCUAUGCACAUCCAGGAACUGCUGCUGUGGCGUUGGACUCUGCCUGCCUGGGAAUUGUGUGUGGAUAAUGUAUGGGAAGUGCUCCUGGCAGACAAGCUAUUUCAGCGCUCCGUAUGAUCCCUGGGAGAUACUGAACAGCUGAACCUGCUAAGAGCAACUGAAAGCCGUUAAGAACUCCACCAACUUAGGGGGUUAUACUGGUCUUUGUAGCUUCACUAUACCACCGCAGCAAAGCACUGUCAGCUCUGUAAGCCUUCAGCACGGACACAAGGGAAACAUCAUGCCAGAAACGUUCCCAGAUCACAGGGCAGCUGCCUGCAACCUUCCAGGUUGUUCUGUCCCGUGAUUUAGCCUGCUAGAUGUGCAGCUCCAGCAAAUAGCAGUUUCUAUUCCGUAAAUAGGAUAUUGCUGAGCACUGAGAUGCUCUCUUCACUUGUUAGGGUUGAGAGAAACCUGUCCUUUAAAUGGACACUGUUGUCCACCAGGUUGCCCGAAGCCCUGUGCCAGCCUUUCUGCUCACUGGCCCUUGCUGAACCUCUAGUCUGGCUCCCACAGAAGCUGCGCAGAAAAUGGUACCUGGUUAAAAUUAGGGGGCAAGAAUUGUUUUCCUACUUGACCUGUUUCAAGUAACCUGAAAUGACUCAGAUACGGUUUUCUGUUUCCUCCAGGUGCACUCCGCUGUUGGACUACA